This 482-nucleotide ribosomal RNA is filed under the name uncultured bacterium. RNAcentral's name for it is "partial 16S ribosomal RNA". It matches the Rfam family "Bacterial small subunit ribosomal RNA", at positions 30 to 507 of the family's 1533-position model. The record is from RNAcentral.
AUUGAACGCUGGCGGCAUGAUUUACACAUGCAAGUCGAACAGUAACAGGCCGCAAGGUGCUGACGAGUGGCGAACGGGUGAGUAAUGCAUCGGAACGUGCCCAGUCGUGGGGGAUAACUACUCGAAAGAGUAGCUAAUACCGCAUACGAUCUAUGGAUGAAAGCGGGGGACCGUAAGGCCUCGCGCGAUUGGAGCGGCCGAUGUCAGAUUAGGUAGUUGGUGGGGUAAAGGCUCACCAAGCCAACGAUCUGUAGCUGGUCUGAGAGGACGACCAGCCACACUGGGACUGAGACACGGCCCAGACUCCUACGGGAGGCAGCAGUGGGGAAUUUUGGACAAUGGGCGCAAGCCUGAUCCAGCAAUGCCGCGUGCAGGAAGAAGGCCUUCGGGUUGUAAACUGCUUUUGUACGGAACGAAACGGCUCUGGUUAAUACCCGGGGCUAAUGACGGUACCGUAAGAAUAAGCACCGGCUAACUACGUG